Molecule: non-coding RNA, 74 nt
Organism: Ixodes scapularis (black-legged tick)
Lineage: Eukaryota; Metazoa; Arthropoda; Arachnida; Ixodida; Ixodidae
Source: Rfam
GCGCGGCUAGCUCAGUCGGUAGAGCAUGAGACUCUUAACCUCAAGGUCGUGGGUUCGGGCCCCACGUUGGCGCC